Molecule: ribosomal RNA, 493 nt
Filed under: uncultured bacterium
Lineage: Bacteria
Description: partial 16S ribosomal RNA
Rfam family: Bacterial small subunit ribosomal RNA
Source: RNAcentral
GACGAACGCUGGCGGCGUGCUUAACACAUGCAAGUCGAACGGAAAGGCCUGCUUUCCCUUGUGGAUUGCGGGUACUCGAGUGGCGAACGGGUGAGUAACACGUGAGUGAUCUGCCCCCAACUUGGGUAUAAGCCUGGGAAACUGGGUCUAAUUCCCGAUAGGACUGCAGGGUGGUGCCUGUGGUGGAAAACGAUUUUCUAGUGGUUGGGGAUGAGCUCGCGGCCUAUCAGCUUGUUGGUGGGGUAAUGGCCUACCAAGGCGGCGACGGGUAGCCGGCCUGAGGGGGUGGACGGCCACAUUGGGAAUGAGAUACGGCCCAGACUGAGACGGGAGGCAGCAGUGGGGAAUAUUGCACAAUGGGCGGAAGCAUGAUGCAGCGACGAGGCGUGGGGGAUGACGGCCUUCGGGUUGUAAACGCCUUCGAACGAGAGGAAGCCACCUGGUUGGAAGGGUGGUGACGGUAGUGGUAGAAGAAGCACCGGCUAACUACGUG